UGAGUAACAUGACCUUGCGGGGAUAGCCGGCCCAACGGCCGGGUAAUACCGCGUACGACCACAUGGGGGGNACGACUCCCUCGAGGUGGUAGGAAAGACGAGAC
RNAcentral lists this ribosomal RNA (104 nucleotides) under uncultured bacterium. Its description in RNAcentral is "partial 16S ribosomal RNA". The record is from RNAcentral.